This 292-nucleotide ribosomal RNA is filed under the name uncultured bacterium. Its description in RNAcentral is "partial 16S ribosomal RNA". It matches the Rfam family "Bacterial small subunit ribosomal RNA", at positions 32 to 334 of the family's 1533-position model. The record is from RNAcentral.
AAUCAACGCUGGCGGCGCGCCUAACACAUGCAAGUCGAACGAGAAAGUGGAGCAAUCCAUGAGUAAAGUGGCGUACGGGUGAGUAACACGUGGAUCAUCUACCCUCUAGUGGGGAAUACCGCUGGGAAACCGGCGACAAUACCGCAUAAGCUCGAGAGAGGAAAGCAGCAAUGCGCUGGAGGAGGAGUCCGCGGUCGAUUAGUUAGUUGGCAGGGUAAAAGCCUACCAAGACUGUGAUCGAUAGCCGGCCUGAGAGGGCACACGGCCACACUGGCACUGAAACACGGGCCAG